CUCCGUGAAGAAGCAGCAGCUAAACACAACUCAACGGAAAGACUUUUCUUACGACCUUUCAACUCUUCAUCCUUGUCUUUAGGUUUCUCAGGCAAUAUUGACUGAUAGUGAGUAGGACUCUUAUCCAACGUCCUGAUACUAAUGUCGCUGGAACGACGAUUUACAAGAAAGGGUUUUAUCACGUCGGAAUUACGUCUGAAUGAAAAAUCCGUGUUCCUUCGCGAAUUCAAUUUUACGCCUGUCAAACCACCAAGAUCAGAAUUACGUCGGGAGCCUGAAAUAUUAAUUUUGAUUAAGUUAAUUCCAGAUUAACGUUACUAGGAAAAUUCGAGGAUGAUCAUCUCCAAGGGUGAACCUGAAAUAUUAUCCAAAUAUCGACCCUAUGGUCUAUAUGUGUUUGGUCUAAUGCAGUCUAUAUAGAGAGGUGGCAUAGAUCUGCCGAAUAUAUAUUCAAUUGUGUAUUCGAUGCUAAAGCGAUGUUAAGGGUUUCCAAUAAUUGGUUACUAGCCCAGCUGCCAAUAAAACUAGUAAAAAGCUUCAGUAGACAUUUUGUUUACUAAAUAUGACGCUGAACAAAGGACGACAGUAGAAAAUAUAUUUUGAGAUUCUGUGGAAUUUCGAAGAUAUAUAGCGAGGUUGUGUAUCCUGUAUAAAACAAAAAAUUCUGUUCGAUUGUCACAUUGAAAAAAUGACAAGAAAAUAUGUAUAUUGAGGGUUAAUCAUUAUUUAUAUAUUAUUGCUUCGUUGUUUCUUGUGUAUUUAUCAUUCGUAGGACAAUAAAGUUUUGCGUAGGAGUUUUUAUUCGCGACGGAGAUGAAAUUUUUGCGUGAACUACAUCGACCAUUGAUUGAAAGUAAAUAAGUUAUUAAUACAAGCCUGCGUAAGAGACCUUUAAAGGGGAGAGUUCCAUGUGUAUUUAAUGUGAACUAAUAAUAAUAUCGUUCGUAUUGAAA
Long non-coding RNA from Cephus cinctus (wheat stem sawfly), 953 nucleotides. RefSeq lists it as uncharacterized. NCBI's taxonomy places the organism in Eukaryota, Metazoa, Arthropoda, Insecta, Hymenoptera, Cephidae. The record is from RefSeq and is a predicted model, not a curated record. The transcript has 5 exons.